AUGCUUACAAAGGCUCGCUGCUGGCCUUGGUAAGGGAGAGGCCGAGAGUUCAAAUCUCUCUAGCAGCACCA
RNAcentral lists this transfer RNA (71 nucleotides) under Ensifer meliloti. Its description in RNAcentral is "Sinorhizobium meliloti tRNA-Thr". The record is from RNAcentral. Lineage: Bacteria; Pseudomonadati; Pseudomonadota; Alphaproteobacteria; Hyphomicrobiales; Rhizobiaceae. RNAcentral also lists the same sequence under 2 other names.